RNAcentral lists this unclassified non-coding RNA (339 nucleotides) under soil metagenome. RNAcentral's name for it is "partial contains 5.8S ribosomal RNA, internal transcribed spacer 2, and large subunit ribosomal RNA". The stretch from base 1 to 120 matches the Rfam family "5.8S ribosomal RNA", at positions 35 to 154 of the family's 154-position model. The record is from RNAcentral.
GAUGAAGAACGUAGCGAAAUGCGAUACGUAGUGUGAAUUGCAGAAUUCAGUGCAUCAUCGAAUCUUUGAACGCACAUUGCACCUCUCGGUAUUCCGGGAGGUAUGCCUGUUCGAGCGUCAUUUGUACCCUCAAGCUCUGCUUGGUGUUGGGUGUUUGUUCCGCCUCUGUGUGUGAACUCGCCUCAAAACAAUUGGCAGCCGGCGUACUUGUUUCGGAGCGCAGCACAUUUUGCGAUCCAGAUCAACGUACAGCGGCAUCCAAGAAGCCUUAUUUAACGCUCUUGACCUCGGAUCAGGUAGGGAUACCCGCUGAACUUAAGCAUAUCAAUAAGCGGAGGA